CAACCAAUAUCCAAAUGCAUCCAUAUAUAUUUUAACAUCAAAACCAGCAUCCAAAUUCAAAGAUAAGUCAGACAACCAACAUCCACCAAGUCACACAAAUAGAAACAACAAAGACAAAGUGUCAACAACUCAACAUUCAAGAGAAUGUCUUCAACAGGCAAUGUCAAUUGUCAAGAAAUAAUCAUACUUAAAAAAGUGAAACAAAUUUUGCAAUUAAAGCAAUAAAACAACAACUUCUUGUCCAUUCCACGAUAAUCCUUUCCAACUUUCCAAUUUCAACUGCAGGCCCUAUAAAAAAAAUAAUAAUUUAAGUAAUAAAAUAGUAGUGGUAAAAUCUAAAACAAGAUAUUUGAAGAGGAAUCGAAGUGUUAAACACAAAUAAUGUACCUUUCCAAUUAUCACAUUCAUUUUAUGGGAAAUAGAAUCUCUUUUGCUGCCUUCAAUUUCUGCAAAAUAAUAAUAACAAUAACAAUAACAAUAAGUAAUAAACUAAUUUUGUUUUAAUAACAUGAAUUUGAAAUAAACUUACUUUUAUCUUUUUUUUCACUCCAUGAAUGUUUCGGCACCAAUCUCCGGCACACAUAAGCAUUUCUAUAGUUUCAGGAGCUAGUGAGGCUCUAUAAGAGUCAAUUACUCUUGUUCCUUGCAUUAGAGGAAUCUGCCCCUGACAUGACUCGAUUGGAAUAAGAUUCAAGUGCGGUUAUGGGCUGACCUGAAAAUAAAAGAAAUUUUAGCUGAUUUUCGAAUCAAAAGCUGCACUUGGAUGAGAAAAAAGAGCUAAUUCUAACUAGUACAACGAAUUCCAUAACGAGUUCAUCCCAGUAGUUGAACAUUUUUAACUAAUACAGCAAAUUCCUAUAAUACAAGGAAAUUUAAUAAUGAAGAUAAAAAAAAAUUAUACUUAACAAACCUGAAAAUAAUCAAGAGGGUUAAAAAAGAACUAUAGCAGGCAUUGCACCAGUCAUAGAUAAUUUUAAGUUGGUUGCUUUUCUUUUUCUUCCAAGAGUUAAUAAAGAUUGAGAAUAAAAACUAGAACGAACUAAAACUAACUUCAAUGACCAGAGAUUAAAAGCUAAUUGAAUGAUUUUUCCUUUUAUAUCAGUUAAUAGAAGCCUUUUAACAACGAAUAAAUUUCUUCAAGAAAUGUAUUAAAGAAAGAACUGAUGGAAGUAUGAAGUAAAAAUUGGUUGUGGAAUCUGAACUCUUACUUUAGCAAAAGUUUGAAUAAUCUAAAACAUGUGGGUUAAAAUAUUAUGGAUACUAUCCCAUUUUACUGGACCUCCAUUAAUUCUCAAUACCCAGGAAAAGAGAACAAAGUUUUUCCUACACUCUGUCAUGGCAAUAGUCUUAAAUUCGCUGCUACUUUUAUCUCAGAAUACUGCCAGUCACAAACACACUCGCGCACUCAACCGUUUUCACAUAAACUACAAAAGAACAGGACAACCUUCCCAAAACUUUGAACAAGUUUAAACAGAGGUUUAAAGGAAUCAUAUCAAUUGCUGAUUAUAUAGGAGUAUGGGAAAUUCAAAACUUUUCCCUUCGUUACCAUCUGUUGACUUCUACCAGGUUUCCCAUUCUGGAUGCAGAGUCUUUACUAACUCUGAGCCUCCAGGGUGGAGUAGUAAAGAAGCAAAUCUAACUAGACAAUAGAAGAGACAAAGCAAAGCUGACAAAAACAUUUAAAUUUAAAGCUCGCAAAAACAUUUAAAGCUCGAGCUCUUCCCUUCGCAAACAGGAAGCAAAACUGUCGGUGGUUUUCUUUUUCUUUCUUCUUUUUUUUUCCAACUACUACCAGUAUUUGUGUCGUAAUCGCCUUCAUUGCUACUGUUUUGCAGCAGAAAACCAUUUCCGGACGUGUUGCUACUGCUAAUUUAGUAAAAGAAAACCAUUGCUACUCUAAUUUAGUAAAUAUCUUUUGCCGGAAGCGUACAGAUUAUGAACCCUAGUUAUGCGCCUAUUUUGCUAAGAUUUAUUCAGUGAAUCAUACUCCAGAGAUCACAGAAUUUAAGCCAAACCUUAUAAAAUGAAAAUGACGAGGUUGCGACGAAGCUGGGACCAGCCAAAUUACUUAAGGAUAACAUCUUACCUGCUGCACGAGCAGCACGACUGCACCUGCUUCAAGAUCCAAGAAUUCCAAGCUCCCGGUCGCCGCACGCCUGCACCGACUGCACAAUCCAAAUGGGUGGAGUAGCAACAACAAAAUGAAACGGUUGGAGCUAGCAACCCAAAUGGGUUUGAUUUGAAAUUGGAAUUAGGGAUUGAGGUGAGGAAUGGGGAUUGAGGAAUAGGUAAUUAGAGACAGCCGUGCACUGAGGUGAGGAAGAAGAAAGAAGACGGCGUUUUUUGACAGAGAUUGAAU
RNAcentral lists this long non-coding RNA (2359 nucleotides) under Coffea arabica (coffee). RNAcentral describes it as "long non-coding RNA (CARA_LNC000438)". Lineage: Eukaryota; Viridiplantae; Streptophyta; Magnoliopsida; Gentianales; Rubiaceae. The record is from RNAcentral.